GACGAACGCUGGCGGCGUGCUUAACACAUGCAAGUCGAACGGAAAGGCCCUGCUUUUGUGGGGUGCUCGAGUGGCGAACGGGUGAGUAACACGUGAGUAACCUGCCCUUGACUUUGGGAUAACUUCAGGAAACUGGGGCUAAUACCGGAUAGGAGCUCCUGCUGCAUGGUGGGGGUUGGAAAGUUUCGGCGGUUGGGGAUGGACUCGCGGCUUAUCAGCUUGUUGGUGGGGUAGUGGCUUACCAAGGCUUUGACGGGUAGCCGGCCUGUGAGGGUGACCGGCCACAUUGGGACUGAGAUACAGCCCAGACUCCUACGGGAGGCAGCAGUGGGGAAUAUUGCACAAUGGGCGGAAGCCUGAUGCAGCAACGCCGCGUGCGGGAUGACGGCCUUCGGGUUGUAAACCGCUUUCGCCUGUGACGAAGCGUGUGUGACGGUAAUGGGUAAAGAAGCACCGGCUAACUACGUG
Molecule: ribosomal RNA, 468 nt
Filed under: uncultured bacterium
Lineage: Bacteria
Description: partial 16S ribosomal RNA
Rfam family: Bacterial small subunit ribosomal RNA
Source: RNAcentral